GAUGAAGAACGCAGCGAAAUGCGAUAAGUAAUGUGAAUUGCAGAAUUCAGUGAAUCAUCGAAUCUUUGAACGCAUCUUGCGCUCCUUGGUAUUCCAUGGAGCAUGCCUGUUUGAGUGUCACGUAAACCCUCACGCCUGCGAUGUCAAAGUCGCGGGUCGUGGACUUGGACCGUGCCGUAGUCGGCUCGUCCUUUGAAAUGCAUUAGCUUGCGCUGGUUAGAGUGCUCGGCAUGGUGUGAUAAUUAUCUGCGCCGUCGCCUUAGGCCUCUUCUGUGUGCGCUGCUUCCAAUCGUCCCCCUGCGGACAAUUAUUUUUAAGCUUUGGCCUCAAAUCAGGUAGGACUACCCGCUGAACUUAAGCAUAUCAAUAAGCGGGAGGA
Molecule: unclassified non-coding RNA, 379 nt
Filed under: soil metagenome
Description: partial contains 5.8S ribosomal RNA, internal transcribed spacer 2, and large subunit ribosomal RNA
Rfam family: 5.8S ribosomal RNA (bases 1-120)
Source: RNAcentral